This 532-nucleotide ribosomal RNA is filed under the name uncultured bacterium. RNAcentral describes it as "bacterial SSU rRNA". It matches the Rfam family "Bacterial small subunit ribosomal RNA", at positions 774 to 1304 of the family's 1533-position model. The record is from RNAcentral.
AGUAAAUAGAUACCCUGGUAGUCCACGCCGUAAACGAUGUCGACUUGGAGGUUGUGCCCUUGAGGCGUGGCUUCCGGAGCUAAACGCGUUAAGUCGACCGCCUGGGGAGUACGGCCGCAAGGUUAAAACUCAAAUGAAUUGACGGGGGCCCGCACAAGCGGUGGAGCAUGUGGUUUAAUUCGAUGCAACGCGAAGAACCUUACCUACUCUUGACAUCCAGAGAACUUAGCAGAGAUGCUUUGGUGCCUUCGGGAACUCUGAGACAGGUGCUGCAUGGCUGUCGUCAGCUCGUGUUGUGAAAUGUUGGGUUAAGUCCCGCAACGAGCGCAACCCUUAUCCUUUGUUGCCAGCGGUUCGGCCGGGAACUCAAAGGAGACUGCCAGUGAUAAACUGGAGGAAGGUGGGGAUGACGUCAAGUCAUCAUGGCCCUUACGAGUAGGGCUACACACGUGCUACAAUGGCGCAUACAAAGAGAAGCGACCUCGCGAGAGCGAGCGGACCUCAUAAAGUGCGUCGUAGUCCGGAUUGGAGU